Molecule: long non-coding RNA, 1251 nt
Filed under: Anas platyrhynchos platyrhynchos (common mallard)
Lineage: Eukaryota; Metazoa; Chordata; Aves; Anseriformes; Anatidae
Description: lncRNA (ENSAPLG00000029337.1)
Source: RNAcentral
AUUAAACGCGGCAUAAAAUUGUCUUCUGUCUGCGGGAAUUUGUUCAAGCUGCGGGGAGGAGAGGAAGGAGCAGGAGGAGGAAAUCUCCGUCUCCCAGCGGCUCUGCCCGCACCAUCCCUCCCCAAAAGUUUCCCACUUGAGGCGGUGGGAAGGGAAGGGAGCGGGGCUCCCCUCUCCGCCUGGCCCUGGCGCAGCCGGGCUGAGCUGCUUGGUACUCCGCUCACAUUUGCUCUCGCCUCCCAAAACUGUUGCGAUCAAAACGCUGGAUCAGCAGCAGCUCGCACGCACACGCCAUCGGCAGAUUUCCCCAUUUUUUUUUUUUUUCCCCCAUCUAAGGGCUGCAGCCUCCCUUUUUUGACACCCUCCCACCCCUCUGGCUUUUUCCCCCUCGCCCCCCGGCUCCAGCGCCCCGCUCACCCCGGGGGAGGGCUGGGGGAGCCGGGACCCCCCCGGGCCGGCCCCACGGAGCCGGGACCCUCCAGUUCCUCCCGGGGAGGGCUCGGGGAGGCUCCCCCCGACCCCCCGACCCCUCGCCCCCGGCCCCGAUCGCGGCGGGUCCCGCCCGGGGAGGCGGCGGCGGGGGAAGUGGGAGGAGAGGCGGCGGAGCGCCUUGCCUCCCGAGGCAUCAGACGUGGGGAAAGGGAGGGGAGAGAGGGAGAGAAAGAGAGAAACGCGCCGAGGAAGGCAGGGAAGGACUGGGGAGGCCGGGCUGGGGAGGGUCCCGCUCCCUCCCGUGUCCGGAGGACCAAGGGGACAGUCGCUUUGGGGCGGCCACCCCCGCGCCCCCCCCUCCUCGGCGGGGCUCUCCCAUGUGCUGCCGGCACCGGCCUGCGAGUAAGUACCCGGCUGCCCCCGGAGCCCCGGGAUCCCCUUCCUUUCCCCCACCGCCUUCUUUCCCCUUCCCUUCCCCGCAGCGACACCCGGCUGCAUCCCCUCCCCGUCCCAGCGGACCCCCCGGUCCCCCUUCCCCUCCUGCCCUCCCAACCCCACACCUUCCCGCAUCCCUUCCCCUCCUCGCCCCCCGUCUUUCCCGGAUCCCCCAGCCGCUCCGGACCUCUCUCCCUUCCCCUCUCCCCUCUCUGUCCUCCUGCUCCCCCCCGGACCCCCCUGCAGCCCUGCCAGCCCCUCGCCCCCCUCCCGCCCCGCAGCCUUCCCCUCGCAUCACCCCGGCGAGUUUCGCUUCCCGGCCCCCGCCUUCCCUCGGCCCCCCCCCCCCCCCCCCCAGCUCUCCACCGCCCCCUCCUGCUUUAG